CUUCAGCGAGCCCAGCAGCAGCGGCUGUUCGCGGUCCUGACCGUAGGUGGCCAGCAGCGCCUGCGCCUC
Molecule: non-coding RNA, 69 nt
Organism: Streptomyces sp. 150FB
Lineage: Bacteria; Bacillati; Actinomycetota; Actinomycetes; Kitasatosporales; Streptomycetaceae
Rfam family: ASpks TB sRNA
Source: Rfam